AUUGAACGCUGGCGGCAGGCCUAACACAUGCAAGUCGAGCGGAUGAAGGGAGCUUGCUCCUGGAUUCAGCGGCGGACGGGUGAGUAAUGCCUAGGAAUCUGCCUGGUAGUGGGGGAUAACGUCCGGAAACGGGCGCUAAUACCGCAUACGUCCUGAGGGAGAAAGUGGGGGAUCUUCGGACCUCACGCUAUCAGAUGAGCCUAGGUCGGAUUAGCUAGUUGGUGGGGUAAAGGCCUACCAAGGCGACGAUCCGUACCUGGUCUGAGAGGAUGAGCAGUCACACUGGAACUGAACCACGGUCCAGGCUCCUACGGGACGCAGCAGUGGGGAAUAUUGGACAAUGGGCGGAAGCCUGAUCCAGCCAUGCCGCGUGUGUUAAGAAGGUCUUCCGAUUGUAAAGCACUUUAAGUUGUGAGGAAGGGCAGUAAGUUAAUACCUUGCUGUUUUGACGUUACCAACAGAAUAAGCACCGGCUAACUUCGUG
RNAcentral lists this ribosomal RNA (484 nucleotides) under uncultured bacterium. RNAcentral's name for it is "partial 16S ribosomal RNA". It matches the Rfam family "Bacterial small subunit ribosomal RNA", at positions 30 to 507 of the family's 1533-position model. The record is from RNAcentral.